This 509-nucleotide unclassified non-coding RNA is filed under the name Hevea brasiliensis (rubber tree). Lineage: Eukaryota; Viridiplantae; Streptophyta; Magnoliopsida; Malpighiales; Euphorbiaceae. The record is from RNAcentral.
GAAGAAACGAAUAAAAACGGUUCUUCUCGUUGAUUUCACCGUCGCCGGAGAUCGUUUGGGACUAUCAUCAUCCACUCUCAAAUGAAUCAGUCUCAGCCACAGCCUCAGCCCGAUCCAUCAAAUCCCCUCCCUCCAAAACCGUCGCACUCCGAUCAUCCGGAUCCAAUUACCGACCAUCGCUCCGGCGACUAUUCUCCCUAUCCCAAGCUUGACCCUAGCGACGUCGCUCCCCCGCCCCUGCCAGAGAACUGGAGCACCGUCCCCAUGGGCUCCCAAUCCCAAAAUCCACCUCCGCCUCCACCUCAAACUCAGCCAAACAGCGAGGCUCGUGCUCCGAUCUACGAGGGAAAUGCCACCACUCUGCCGACUGAAGCUAAUCCCUAUGUUUCUGCGGCUCCAGCCCAUGGAAAUCCUUCUUCCGCCAAGAAUACGGUAGAUUCGAUGAAGGUGAUGCUUGGAAGAUGGGGAAAGAGGGCAGUUGAGGCAACCAAGAAGGCCGAGGAUCUUGC